RNAcentral lists this ribosomal RNA (468 nucleotides) under uncultured bacterium. Its description in RNAcentral is "partial 16S ribosomal RNA". It matches the Rfam family "Bacterial small subunit ribosomal RNA", at positions 28 to 507 of the family's 1533-position model. The record is from RNAcentral.
GACGAACGCUGGCGGCGUGCUUAACACAUGCAAGUCGAACGGAAAGGCCCUGCUUUUGUGGGGUGCUCGAGUGGCGAACGGGUGAGUAACACGUGAGUAACCUGCCCUUGACUUUGGGAUAACUUCAGGAAACUGGGGCUAAUACCGGAUAGGAGCUCCUGCUGCAUGGUGGGGGUUGGAAAGUUUCGGCGGUUGUGGAUGUACUCGCGGCUUAUCAGCUUGUUGGUGGGGUAGUGGCUUACCAAGGCUUUGACGGGUAGCCGGCCUGAGAGGGUGACCGGCCACAUUGGGACUGAGAUACGGCCCAGACUCCUACGGGAGGCAGCAGUGGGGAAUAUUGCACAAUGGGCGGAAGCCUGAUGCAGCAACGCCGCGUGCGGGAUGACGGCCUUCGGGUUGUAAACCGCUUUCGCCUGUGACGAAGCGUGAGUGACGGUAAUGGGUAAAGAAGCACCGGCUAACUACGUG